Molecule: non-coding RNA, 393 nt
Organism: Sturnus vulgaris (Common starling)
Lineage: Eukaryota; Metazoa; Chordata; Aves; Passeriformes; Sturnidae
Source: RefSeq, a predicted model, not a curated record
CUGCGGUAAUGAGGAGGAGCAAGACCGUAAUCGCACCGUGCAGGACUGCAAGGCAACACACUUCAGAAGCAUGAUACCAGUAGAACUAUGGAAGACAGUCUUGAUUCAAGAUCACAUCAUAUCAGUUAUGGGGCCUUGUUGUGAGUCUUUUUUGAGAGCAAAGAGAAAUAUUUGUCUGUUGCAUCUGGUAGAUGAUGAGGAAAAAAAGCAUCUGCUGAAAUGGAUCCAUGCAAAUAAGCAAUGUUUUUGGGAAAAAGAAAUGCAAGCGGGAGUGGCUCAAGAAGAGAAAUGGCAGAGCAGCACAGUGAAGGCUGUAGUUCUGUGAGUUAUCCCAUUGCCAAUCUCACCUCAUACCCAUGCACUGAGAUAAAGAGCUGUGAUCUAAGAAAAGGU